ACAGAGGGUGCGAGCGUUAAUCGGAUUUACUGGGCGUAAAGCGCGUGUAGGCGGUACUCUAAGUCCGGGGUGAAAUCCGGGGGCUUAACCCCCGAACAGCGCCGGAAACUGGAGCGCUUGAGUGUCGGAGAGGGGAGUGGAAUUCUCGGUGUAGCGGUGAAAUGCGUAGAGAUCGGGAGGAACACCCGUGGCGAAGGCGGCUCCCUGGCCGAACACUGACGCUGAGACGCGAAAGCGUGGGGAGCGAACGGGA
Molecule: ribosomal RNA, 253 nt
Filed under: uncultured prokaryote
Description: partial 16S ribosomal RNA
Rfam family: Bacterial small subunit ribosomal RNA
Source: RNAcentral